This is a long non-coding RNA of Triticum aestivum (bread wheat), 691 nucleotides long. RefSeq lists it as uncharacterized. The record is from RefSeq and is a predicted model, not a curated record. The transcript is spliced from 2 exons. Lineage: Eukaryota; Viridiplantae; Streptophyta; Magnoliopsida; Poales; Poaceae.
CCUCCCUGUUCACAACAGGAGGUCGUGGCACGCAUCCGACCACCAUGGCCGCGGCUGUGGAUGCGUGUUGGACAUCCCGCGGCUUACCCCGGCGCCUACUUGACGCCUCCAGCCCCCCUCUCCCUCCCUGGUAACCCAAGUCUCCAAAUCCCGCUCUCCCUCGCUCAUAUCCGAUGAACUGGAAGAGACCGAGCUCGCGGUCAUCGUCAUCGUCGUCGAUCCCGCGGCCACCGGCCUCCAUUCGUCGCGCCAAGACGUCGAGGAACUCCGCCAUCGUCGUCUCCGUCGCCCUCGCCUAUCGGUUGGAGCUCGGACGACCUACUACCUCGCCAUCGCGCGGUCUUCUCCGCCACGGCAGCCGCAUCUCGUCGACGAGCGCGACGCGUCCGGCCACCUAGAGUCGUCCUCGGGCCGUCCCUGCAACGGCAAUGAUGCGUCCCUGGAGCCAAAUGCCACCACCGAUGGAUGAUACUACAUGGAGGCCGCCGCCGACCAGGAGUAGUUAGGAGGUCCCAGGCAGGAGGCCUUGCCUCUUCGAUCGUGUUGCUUUUGUGUUUGCCUUCUUAAGGCAUCCUUGUUUAAAUUAUGUCUGUGCUCAGAUAUUGUUGCUUCCGCUGACUCUCUUGUGUAUCGAGCUUGUAUUCGAGCCCUUGAGGCCCCUGACUUGUAAUAUGAAGCUUGUAUUAUUUCA